UACGGAGGGUGCGAGCGUUGUCCGGAAUCAUUGGGCGUAAAGGGCGCGUAGGUGGCCCGGUCAGUUCGUGGUGAAAGCGCGGGGCUCAACCCUGCGUCGGCCAUGAAUACUGCCGCGGCUGGAGCACUGUAGAGGCAGGCGGAAUUCCGGGUGUAGCGGUGGAAUGCGUAGAGAUCCGGAAGAACACCGGUGGCGAAGGCGGCGUUCUGGACUGUUUCUGACACUGAAUAACGAAAGCCAGGGGAGCAAACGGG
Molecule: ribosomal RNA, 254 nt
Filed under: uncultured bacterium
Lineage: Bacteria
Description: partial 16S ribosomal RNA
Rfam family: Bacterial small subunit ribosomal RNA
Source: RNAcentral